UACGUAGGGCGCAAGCGUUGUCCGGAAUUAUUGGGCGUAAAGAGCUCGUAGGCGGCUUGUCACGUCGGGUGUGAAAGCCCGGGGCUUAACCCCGGGUCUGCAUUCGAUACGGGCUGGCUAGAGUGUGGUAGGGGAGAUCGGAAUUCCUGGUGUAGCGGUGAAAUGCGCAGAUAUCAGGAGGAACACCGGUGGCGAAGGCGGAUCUCUGGGCCAUUACUGACGCUGAGGCGCGAAAGCGUGGGGAGCAAACAGG
This 253-nucleotide ribosomal RNA is filed under the name uncultured bacterium. Its description in RNAcentral is "partial 16S ribosomal RNA". It matches the Rfam family "Bacterial small subunit ribosomal RNA", at positions 524 to 776 of the family's 1533-position model. The record is from RNAcentral.